GACGAACGCUGGCGGCGUGCUUAACACAUGCAAGUCGAACGGAAAGGCCCUGCUUUUGUGGGGUGCUCGAGUGGCGAACGGGUGAGUAACACGUGAGUAACCUGCCCUUGACUUUGGGAUAACUUCAGGAAACUGGGGCUAAUACCGGAUAGGAGCUCCUGCUGCAUGGUGGGGGUUGGAAAGUUUCGGCGGUUGGGGAUGGACUCGCGGCUUAUCAGCUUGUUGGUGGGGUAGUGGCUUACCAAGGCUUUGACGGGUAGCCGGCCUGAGAGGGUGACCGGCCACAUUGGGACUGCGAUACGGCCCGGACUCCUACGGGAGGCAGCAGUGGGGAAUAUUGCACAAUGGGCGGAAGCCUGAUGCAGCCACGCCGCGUGCGGGAUGACGGCCUUCGGGUUGUAACCCGCUUUCGCCUGUGACGAAGCGUGAGUGACGGUAAUGGGUAAAGAAGCACCGGCUAACUACGUG
This 468-nucleotide ribosomal RNA is filed under the name uncultured bacterium. RNAcentral describes it as "partial 16S ribosomal RNA". It matches the Rfam family "Bacterial small subunit ribosomal RNA", at positions 28 to 507 of the family's 1533-position model. The record is from RNAcentral.